UGGCUCAGGACGAACGCUGGCGGCGUGCCUAACACAUGCAAGUCGAACGGAGUAAUUCCUUUCGGGGGAUUACUUAGUGGCGAACGGGUGAGUAACGCGUGAGGAACCUACCUCUCAGUGGGGGACAACAGUUGGAAACGACUGCUAAUACCGCAUAAUGUAUCUGGACCGCAUGAUUCGGAUACCAAAGAUUUAUUGCUGAGAGAUGGCCUCGCGUCUGAUUAGCUAGUUGGCGGGGUAACGGCCCACCAAGGCGACGAUCAGUAGCCGGACUGAGAGGUUGAACGGCCACAUUGGGACUGAGAUACGGCCCAGACUCCUACGGGAGGCAGCAGUGGGGAAUAUUGGGCAAUGGGGGAAACCCUGACCCAGCAACGCCGCGUGAAGGAAGAAGGCCUUCGGGUUGUAAACUUCUUUUACCAGGGACGAAGACGUGACGGUACCUGGAGAAAAAGCAACGGCUAACUACGUGCCAGCAGCCGCGGUAAUACGUAGGUUGCAAGCGUUGUCCGGAUUUACUGGGUGUAAAGGGCGUGUAGGCGGAGAUGCAAGUUGGGAGUGAAAUCCCGGGGCUCAACCCCGGAACUGCUUUCAAAACUGUAUCCCUUGAGUGUCGGAGAGGCAAGCGGAAUUCCUAGUGUAGCGGUGAAAUGCGUAGAUAUUAGGAGGAACACCAGUGGCGAAGGCGGCUUGCUGGACGAUAACUGACGCUGAGGCGCGAAAGCGUGGGGAGCAAACAGGAUUAGAUACCCUGGUAGUCCACGCUGUAAACGAUGAAUACUAGGUGUGGGAGGACUGACCCCUUCCGUGCCGCAGUUAACACAAUAAGUAUUCCACCUGGGGAGUACGACCGCAAGGUUGAAACUCAAAGGAAUUGACGGGGGCCCGCACAAGCAGUGGAUUAUGUGGUUUAAUUCGACGCAACGCGAAGAAACCUUACCAGGACUUGACAUCCAACUAACGAAGUAGAGAUAC
RNAcentral lists this ribosomal RNA (975 nucleotides) under uncultured bacterium. RNAcentral's name for it is "bacterial SSU rRNA". It matches the Rfam family "Bacterial small subunit ribosomal RNA", at positions 20 to 1009 of the family's 1533-position model. The record is from RNAcentral.